Long non-coding RNA from Mytilus trossulus (common blue mussel), 503 nucleotides. RefSeq lists it as uncharacterized. NCBI's taxonomy places the organism in Eukaryota, Metazoa, Mollusca, Bivalvia, Mytilida, Mytilidae. The record is from RefSeq and is a predicted model, not a curated record. The transcript has 2 exons.
UGUUAUAACCAGAGGCAUCAAUAGGCCUACAUGUACAGCAUUGUUUUCCUAGUCAUACCACCUGUUAUCCUAAGUAUACAUAUAAAUAGAGAGCAUUACCAUCAAAAACUGUAUAUCUUGGUCAAGACAUAAUCACUACGACUCAAAAUGCAAAUCAAAUACAUAAUUACAUUGGUGAUUCUUGGAUUGGCUUUGGUGGCGUCACCAGCCCAGGCAAAUACAACUUGUUGUCAGUUACGAUUCGCUGACUGUCAAUUUACAUGCCGGAACUAUGCCAAGAACAAGACAGCCUGCACUCGGUAUUGUGAGAGGUCACUAGCAACAUGUGCAAAGAGAUGAGACAAAGUUAAAAAGACAUCAAACAAUGCAAUAUUGGCUUAAUUUGGAUUGUUAAUUCUAAAAUGUAUUUUGAAUAAUGAAGAUUCUUACUGUUUAGUGAAUACAUCUUUAUAUUACAUAUGGGAAGAUUCUUUCAUUUAUGAAUAAAUAAUAUAGUUAUACUA